RNAcentral lists this non-coding RNA (85 nucleotides) under Chloroflexota bacterium. RNAcentral describes it as "Chloroflexi bacterium c-di-GMP sequence". It matches the Rfam family "c-di-GMP-II-GAG riboswitch aptamer". The record is from RNAcentral. Lineage: Bacteria; Bacillati; Chloroflexota.
CUUGUCGCGGGAGGCGCCCACGCGCGGUCCCACCCCGGUCGUCACGGACCGCGCCGAUCCAGCGGCGAGACCGGCCCGCGCUCCA